UACGAAGGGGGCUAGCGUUGCUCGGAAUCACUGGGCGUAAAGGGUGCGUAGGCGGGUCUUUAAGUCGGGGGGGAAAUCCUGGAGCUCAACUCCAGAACUGCCUUUGAUACUGGAGAGCUUGAGUCCGGGAGAGGUGAGUGGAACUGCGAGUGUAGAGGUGAAAUUCGUAGAUAUUCGCAAGAACACCAGUGGCGAAGGCGGCUCACUGGCCCGGUACUGACGCUGAGGUGCGAAAGCGUGGGGAGCAAACAGG
This 253-nucleotide ribosomal RNA is filed under the name uncultured bacterium. RNAcentral describes it as "partial 16S ribosomal RNA". It matches the Rfam family "Bacterial small subunit ribosomal RNA", at positions 524 to 776 of the family's 1533-position model. The record is from RNAcentral.